This is a long non-coding RNA of Carassius auratus (goldfish), 1271 nucleotides long. RefSeq lists it as uncharacterized. The transcript is spliced from 2 exons. The record is from RefSeq and is a predicted model, not a curated record. Lineage: Eukaryota; Metazoa; Chordata; Actinopteri; Cypriniformes; Cyprinidae.
GAUUUUUAAAGAACAAUCGUUUAAACAGGAUCGGCACUGUGAUCUCAAAAUCUACUGUCUCUCACUGGACCUCAACAAUCACUGUUGGAAAGGGAGCUCUGUCCCGAGACACUCUCGAGUUACAUUGAGACUGAUGAUUCCCCAAUCUUCUACAAUGAACUUCACAUAGGAUGAACUGUUUCCAGUUUCAGCAAAACAGCAAGGAUUCAUUAUGGAUGACUGCACCUUACCACUCUUCACUAACACUGCCUGCAUCACCUGGGCCACAGAGAAAACAAUGCUACUUUUUUCUGGUCUUUCGAUGGUUGCAUUUUGUAUAAUUAUUUUUUGUUAACAUCAGUGUUAUUGUUACCAGUAUUUUACUUUAUGCACCUGUGUGACUCAAAAUUGUGCUUUGAGUACUUUAACUUUUAUAGACUGAACAUAAAAAAAGACAACAGAUUAAGAAUAUUUUAUUGUUUUAUUCUGUGAUAGCAUGAUGUCACACAACUAUAAAUAAAAAAAGAAAUCAUUUCAAAUCUUUGGUAAAUAAAUGAAAAGAACAAAAUCAACAAGUUCAAACUCUCACCAGAAUUUACUAUUUACAUUCACAUCUGAUCAGAAACACAGAUGGGCACAUUCACUUUAGGUAAUACAAACUAUAUAUGGGUAAUAAAUGAAUAAAAAUAUGUAGUAUAGCAAAAAAAAACAAGGUAAUUUUAUACUAAGAAAAGAAGCAAAACAAUUAAAAUUGGAUUUAAAAAAUAAACUAAAUCCCUGCAAUAAAGCUGCCGGAGCUUUCACAAACAGUGUCAGUCACGAUGCACAGUUCUUGAAUUAAACACACGUGUUUCUCACCAUCUUCUAGAAGAAGACAGUGUUAAAAGUGUUAUAGAGAGAUGACAUUAAGAUUGAACAUGCACAUGCUGUAUGGAAAACACACGUUAAUCAGAAAAGCACUGCUUUAGUACAACCACAUUCUUAUAUGAUCUAUACACAGCCCUAAAUCGACUUAUAAUCGAGAAACAAGUUAUACAUGUGAGAUUUUCAUUAGAUUUACAUUAGAUCAACAGUGCACAAUCACAUCUAGAGCUCCUGAUUUUGAGGUAUUGCAGGUUCACAUAAAAAGAAAUAUUAUUUUGGUUCAUCUUAAAAGAUUAUAUAUAUAUUUAUAUAGAGCAUAUUGAGGCUGCAUCUCUUUACUCAUCAAAGGAAUGUCUCCCCUGGAUCAUAGCAACUGUUUUCAGUGCAAUCUGAAAAAAAAAAAAAAUGAAAUUAAGAUUCUUAACAUA